GUGAGGGAGAGAGGAGUCAUCAUCCAGGUAAAGUGACGUGGAUCAGUGGAUACACUUGUCUCCCCUUUAAAGGAGAUAGAGAGACGAUCCGAGUCAUCCCUAAAUAUGGGCAGGAUGUCAGUCUUGGACUGUCUAACCUGCCGGAGCAGCACUGAAUGACCACCACACAUGAGCAUGUUCCUGCAACAUUCAGCAGCUUUGCUUUUGGGUCAAAGGUCAACCAGCUGGAGAGGAAACUACACCAGUGUACUGGGAUGUUUCACCAACACGUGCCAGAUGCUGUUCCUUCAUGGUGACAUCACCAGAGACAGCCCCGCCCACCUCAGGACCUCGCCAUUGAUCAUGAUGGUUAUAAUAAUGACAGCGAGCGGAACUAAGACUGUAAAAAUCAGAAUGUUUAGAUGCUUUCUAAUUAUUCAUGAAUACUGAGAGCCUCUUUCUGUGUUUUGUCUGUUUUGUUUUUUUUACCUCAUUUGUUACUAACAAAGUUCACCAAACUCACACAGUUUACAUUCUGUAUGUUUCCAUCUUUACCAGCCACACUCUGCCUGCAUUUAGAAAACAAACCUUAGAAAUCGUCGUUUUUCUCUUUUGUAAUUUUGUAAUUCAGUGAAUAUACUGCGCUGCUUCCUUUUAUUGCGUCACACAUGGCUUUAACUUUUUCAGUGUCCAGUUAUUUUUUACUGCUGUUUGAAUUCUCUGCAUGUUUGACCCUGUAGACUGUUUAAUG
Long non-coding RNA from Pelmatolapia mariae (spotted tilapia), 730 nucleotides. RefSeq lists it as uncharacterized. Lineage: Eukaryota; Metazoa; Chordata; Actinopteri; Cichliformes; Cichlidae. The record is from RefSeq and is a predicted model, not a curated record. The transcript has 3 exons.